RNAcentral lists this ribosomal RNA (234 nucleotides) under uncultured Staphylococcus sp. Its description in RNAcentral is "partial 16S ribosomal RNA". It matches the Rfam family "Bacterial small subunit ribosomal RNA", at positions 106 to 334 of the family's 1533-position model. Lineage: Bacteria; Bacillati; Bacillota; Bacilli; Caryophanales; Staphylococcaceae. The record is from RNAcentral.
GUAGAGUAACACGUGGAUAACCUACCUAUAAGACUGGGAUAGCUUCGGGAACCGGAGCUAAUACCGGAUAAUAUAUUGAACCGCAUGGUUCAAUAGUGAAAGACGGUUUUGCUGUCACUUAUAGAUGGAUCCGCGCCGCAUUAGCUAGUUGGUAAAGUAACGGCUUACCAAGGCAACGAUGCGUAGCCGACCUGGGAGGGUGAUCGGCCACACUGGAACUGAGACACGGUCCAG